RNAcentral lists this ribosomal RNA (474 nucleotides) under uncultured bacterium. Its description in RNAcentral is "bacterial SSU rRNA". It matches the Rfam family "Bacterial small subunit ribosomal RNA", at positions 328 to 793 of the family's 1533-position model. The record is from RNAcentral.
CGCUAUCACUCCUACGGGAGGCAGCAGUAGGGAAUCUUUCCACAAUGGGCGCAAGCCUGAUGGAGCAACACCGCGUGAGUGAAGAAGGGUUUCGGCUCGUAAAGCUCUGUUGUUAAAGAAGAACACGUAUGAGAGUAACUGUUCAUACGUUGACGGUAUUUAACCAGAAAGUCACGGCUAACUACGUGCCAGCAGCCGCGGUAAUACGUAGGUGGCAAGCGUUAUCCGGAUUUAUUGGGCGUAAAGAGAGUGCAGGCGGUUUUCUAAGUCUGAUGUGAAAGCCUUCGGCUUAACCGGAGAAGUGCAUCGGAAACUGGAUAACUUGAGUGCAGAAGAGGGUAGUGGAACUCCAUGUGUAGCGGUGGAAUGCGUAGAUAUAUGGAAGAACACCAGUGGCGAAGGCGGCUACCUGGUCUGCAACUGACGCUGAGACUCGAAAGCAUGGGUAGCGAACAGGAUUAGAUACCCUGGUAG